ACUAAUUAACUUUUAACUCUAGUUGAAAUUGAAACAGAAUUUGCCUAUGAGAGUCGUGUAUUUCUUAGUUAACUAGGAUUCAACCAUGCAAAAUGGGGUGAGACCGUGAGAGUGAAAGAGUUUAAAUACAACCGCCAACCGGCCCCUGAUCUGCUAUAAAUCCAGAUAAACUUUGAGAUCAAGAGCCCAGAAAUAUAAUAGGCCAGCUUCUGGACCGCUGAAAUACAAAAUUUUUAGAACUGAAAAUUUAAAGUAUGGAGCAGUUCGCACGUGGGGCUUUUUCGACGUUUGAAGAGUUGUGUUAUUGCAACAUUUCUCAGCAGCAUUUCUUGCAUAUGCAAACAAGACAGACAAGGAUAAGAAGUAUCAGCACCCCAGCAAGAGCUCCUGCAACCCACAGUGGAACUACAGAUAGAGGGGCAAGAUUUUUUAAUGUUUUGGCUAAUCUGCUGUCACGGCGGGGCGUCCUAUGCAUGGUUCUGAAACUCAAACAUAACACUUCCAGACCAAGGAGAUUCUGCACCACUUUUUCAUAACAAGUUGAUACAACAUCCCGGUUGAAAAAAUACUUCCCGACUCUGUCCAGGAGCUGAUGUGAUAUUUUCUGUCUCCAUGACAAUGUUGCAUUGUCCAAUCAGGAUAUCCGCACAU
Long non-coding RNA from Dendronephthya gigantea, 651 nucleotides. RefSeq lists it as uncharacterized. NCBI's taxonomy places the organism in Eukaryota, Metazoa, Cnidaria, Anthozoa, Malacalcyonacea, Nephtheidae. The transcript has 3 exons. The record is from RefSeq and is a predicted model, not a curated record.